CUCUCUCACAGGUAUACAAGGUAAGUAUCAAAGAUUUGUUUCCUUCUGUUUUUAAGACUGUAUAGUAUUCCAUUGUGUAUAUAUGCCACAUUCAUUCAUUCAACUGCUAAUGAACACUAAGGUUGAUUUCAUAUCUUGACUAUCAUGAAUAAUGCUGCAAUGACUAUGGGAGUGCAGAUACCUCUUCAACAUGUUAAUUUCAGUUCCCAAUAGGGAUAUCACUUUGAAUCCUAGACAAUCAAGGCUCAGCACUAAGACAUUCUGCAAAACUUCUUCCUUUCUUUCAGUUUAGUAUAUUCUAUCCAGAUGCCUAAUUUAUUGGGUGGACCCCAGAACCUUAACACAAUUCUGAGGUGGAAGAAAUGGGGAACACCAGGCCUGGCCUCAUGGAGACCGGGGAGUCAGAACCUGAGCUCUGGCUCCUGGAGCUGCUGCGAGUGAGUGGUGGAAACCUGCCCCCUUAGAGAAGCUGCAGCUGAUCAGCAUCAUGCAAGGGACUGCUGAGAUGGUAGCAUGCUGGUAAUGAAGUGUUAUGGAGCCACUCCAUCCUUUAUUCAUCCUUUUCCUCAUACACACAGAGAGCAAAGCACAGGAACCAGCUACAGAAUUUGCAAGUGGAGAAUCCAGGUACCUUUAAAAGUCUAUUUAGUGAAAAUCUCUGGCUAUUGAUGUGACGGUUAAUUUUAUGUGCCAACUUGGCUAGGCCAUGGUACCCAGUUUUUCAUAAAAGAUCAGUCUAGAUGUUGUGAAGGUAUAUUUUUAAAUGUGAUUAACAUUUUAUUCAGUGGACUUCAAGUAAAGCAGAUUAUCCUCC
RNAcentral lists this long non-coding RNA (814 nucleotides) under Homo sapiens (human). RNAcentral's name for it is "non-protein coding lnc-BEND6-1:2". The record is from RNAcentral. Lineage: Eukaryota; Metazoa; Chordata; Mammalia; Primates; Hominidae.